GGAGUGUCCUCGAGCUCCGGCUAUGGUUCCGAUUUCACAGUGUGGGGGUGUUCUUCCCGCUUAGCCCUCAGCAGUAGCAGAACCACUUCCUUCAGUUGGUCCCCGUUUCCCGCCUACGGACCUGCCGCACCCCACAGAUAGGAACCAGAUGGAAAGCAGCCUCCCUGCGCAGGCACCCUGACUUCCUCCUCACCCUCCCCAUUCCCAUGACAAUCCAUCCAGGCAGGAGAGAAGGAACAAGGAACACAGGCGGCCCAAGAGGGCGGGGCAGAAGUUCCAGCCAGACUCUUCUCACCAGACUAUGAAUUCAACCUGAGCCUCAGAAGCAGCACUGACCACUACCAACUGGGUGCCUGAUCACCAUGAAUAUCUACUGGCUGACUAGCAGGGUUGUAAAUAAUGCAUAAAUAAAACUUCCCAUCACCA
RNAcentral lists this long non-coding RNA (426 nucleotides) under Fukomys damarensis (Damara mole-rat). Its description in RNAcentral is "lncRNA (ENSFDAG00000022813.1)". Lineage: Eukaryota; Metazoa; Chordata; Mammalia; Rodentia; Bathyergidae. The record is from RNAcentral.